UAGGUAGAGCACCUCGUUUACACGUGCGCCAAUGUUUUUUCGAGUCCGUAUAGCCCUACCUAACAUCACUACUA
Molecule: transfer RNA, 74 nt
Filed under: Brachystegia angustistipulata
Lineage: Eukaryota; Viridiplantae; Streptophyta; Magnoliopsida; Fabales; Fabaceae
Description: tRNA-Val
Source: RNAcentral